GAUGAACGCUGGCGGCGUGCCUAAUACAUGCAAGUCGAGCGAACAGACGAGGAGCUUGCUCCUCUGACGUUAGCGGCGGACGGGUGAGUAACACGUGGAUAACCUACCUAUAAGACUGGGAUCACUUCGGGAAACCGGAGCUAAUACCGGAUAAUAUAUUGAACCGCAUGGUUCAAUAGUGAAAGACGGUUUUGCUGUCACUUAUAGAUGGAUCCGCGCCGCAUUAGCUAGUUGUUAAGGUAACGGCUUACCAAGGGAAGGAUGCGUAGCCGACCUGAGAGGGUGGUCGGCCACACUGGAACUGAGACACGGUCCAGACUCCUACGGGAGGCAGCAGUAGGGAAUCUUCCGCAAUGGGCGAAAGCAUGACGGAGCAACGCCGAGUGAGUGAUGAAGGUCUUCGGAUCGUAAAACUCUGUUAUUAGGGAAGAACAAAUGUGUAAGUAACUAUGCACGUCUUGACGGUACCUAAUCAGAAAGCAACGGCUAACUACGUG
RNAcentral lists this ribosomal RNA (497 nucleotides) under uncultured bacterium. Its description in RNAcentral is "partial 16S ribosomal RNA". It matches the Rfam family "Bacterial small subunit ribosomal RNA", at positions 28 to 507 of the family's 1533-position model. The record is from RNAcentral.